UAUAUUAUAUAUAAUAUAACACAUUAUAUAUAUAUUUAUAUAAAUAUAUAUAUAAAAUGAAUGCUUCCUCUUUCUCUCAUAGAGCGAGAGAGAGCAUUUAGUGCCUUAUGGGAAUGGAGAAGAAGGAACACUUACUCUGCCUAGGAAGACCAGGACACUUGAGUUGGUCCUUGAGGGAUGAGUGGGGGGCAGGCAGGGAGGAAAGGGCCUGCUGAACAGACAGAACAUCAUGGACAAGGGUGUAAAGUCUGGAAAUGUAUGGCAUGGCUAGUAACCCAUAAGGAAUGGAGCGGAGGACACCUGAGGCAGGAUAGAGGCAAGCAGGGAAACAGGAUAACAAGUGAGAUGAAAAGUGAAGUGAAAGUCCCUGCUUGACAUAUAAAAAGAGAAGACUUGAUUGUCUGGAUCAGCAGUUACCACUCUUCUGACUUGGGCAAGGAAGCUAGUUCCUGCAACUUGGAGGCUCAUUAGAAAUGAAAGAAAGAGCCAGUCAUUAAGGCAAAGCUCUAUGCUCAGCACUGGGAUAAGUUACAUUGACUCAGAAGCAGUUCCUACCCCCUCCAUGGAUGCUCAUGCCCUCGUGCAAACACUGGGAGUCAGUGCAGGGGAGGAUGUGUCCAACGCGUCUCUUAUUCCCCUGAUGAGUCCUCACCAUGGCCCCUUGAAGAAGGGAUUAUUCCUGGUAUUUUUCAGGUGAGUGGCACAGAGAGCCAGGGUACAUUGUUCAAAGUCAUCCAGCUGGUAAGCAGUGGAAGUGAGGCUUAAACUCAGUCAUGUGUGACUCCAGAACCUGCAACUUCUCCAGCCCCCUCCCUACCUGAGGAGAGUUCAGGUGUUUCAGGUUCAAGGUUGGCACUCUGGUGGCAGUGGGAGGAAUCAUCUUGAAAUCAUGACCUAGUGAUUAGUUCAGUGAGAUCUUGUCCUAGUGAAGCAAGACACUAGACUGAAUGAAAGGAUUAUUUAACAGCACCUUUUGCUGUGUAAAUUAUCAUCUAAAGGAGUCUAUGAGCAGGUGUGGGAGCCUUUGAAUGGCAAAAUAGAGACAGUCCCCUUUCCUGAGAUGAGGGAUUGUGACCAGGUGACCUUUAAAGUAACUUCUAACUCAAAAGAGUCUGCGAUUCCAAAAAAAAAAAAAAAAAAAGUAUCAUGAGUCCCUCAAAUAGCUCUGGCUGAUACGGAAAGAAACUCUUACGUAGUUCACUGGGUUCCAAGCUGAACAGAAUGACUGCAACAUGAGCUUUGGCCAGUGGCUUGAAAACUGUUCCAUAGAACCUCAAGAGCUCUGUCACUCUGGAGUUGAAAUCCAAAUGGGGACGAUAAGACAAGCAGGAUGCUUAUAUCAUUGGUGGCCUCACUAUAGUUAUCAUGUCCUAGGCAGGAUGAGCCUAAGUCUUCUCGGGCUUCUUAGAUUUUUAACAUUCUCUGUCUGGAAGGUAGAAACCCCCUACCCACCCUACCCUCCUAGAAUAUUCUGUUCUGUUCAGAUUUUCUUUGCUUUCAUAAUGUUACACAUUGAGGGCACUUAUGUCUAUGGAUACAAUAUAGGAAACUCUUAUCUGCACAGGUAGUUAUAGGAACUUGGAAUGGGACUCAUGGUUACUAGAACUGGAAAUCCUUUAGGAAUCAACUUGUUCUCUUUUCCUUCUGAUUAGUAUAUAUAAAAAAACAGGAACACAGUGGAAAGAAGUCUCCUGCCCAAGG
This is a non-coding RNA of Sus scrofa (pig), 1701 nucleotides long. Lineage: Eukaryota; Metazoa; Chordata; Mammalia; Artiodactyla; Suidae. The record is from RefSeq and is a predicted model, not a curated record.